This 438-nucleotide long non-coding RNA is filed under the name Equus caballus (horse). Its description in RNAcentral is "lncRNA (ENSECAG00000046417.1)". The record is from RNAcentral. Lineage: Eukaryota; Metazoa; Chordata; Mammalia; Perissodactyla; Equidae.
AGGCACUGAAUGUCUAUCAAGUAUUUACCACGGUCAAGUUCCGAUGGAGUGGGUACAUUGGUGUCAACCACAGGGCAAGUUGUUGGAUCCCUCAGGAAGUGGCUGGAGCUGAAACAAUGCUGUAAGCUCAUUUCCAGAAGAAAAGUCUUUAUGAAAUUAAGAAUCAAAAAGUGAUGUCAAGGACACUCAUUCGACAGGAUACCCAGACUGCUACCCUGAGGCCUUUUGAAACAAUAAGCUUGGGAGGAAAAGCAAUGAUCUUAAUCAGAUCCUUGCCAAUGAGUUGCUCCCCCAUCUGGAUGUGGUGUCUUAAGAGGGACCACUCAAGAGUCAUUACACCAUGAGGAAAGCAGCAUUGUAUACCAGGUAAAACACAGACCUAAAACAAGCAAACGAUUACAUUGUGGUAUUAUGAUUGCUGUCACAGGUAUGUGGUGG